UCCGGUUUAUCACCGGCAGUCCCCUAUGCACCACCUGUGAAGGUGUCCCGAAGGAAAACCGUGUUUCCACGGCGGUCACCUACAUGUCAAGCCCAGGUAAGGUUCUUCGCGUUGCGUCGAAUUAAACCACACGCUCCGCUGCUUGUGCGGGCCCCCGUCAAUUCCUUUGAGUUUUAGCCUUGCGGCCGUAGUCCCCAGGCGGAGUACUUAUCGCGUUAGCUGCGGCACCGAGGGGGUCGAUACCCCCGACACCUAGUACUCAUCGUUUACAGCGUGGACUAC
This 282-nucleotide unclassified non-coding RNA is filed under the name uncultured bacterium. RNAcentral describes it as "contains 16S-23S intergenic spacer region". The record is from RNAcentral.